AUGCAUAUUGUUUCACUUGAUUAUAGAACAACUCUUUGAAUUAAAUGCUUUCCUCAUUUUACAGUGGAGAAAAAUGAGAGAAACAGAGGUCAAGUGGCAUGUAAGUGACAAGAGUAGAGUUUCUGAUCAUGGGAGAGCAAGCCACAGGAAAUUGGGAGUCAGAAUAUUCCCAAUUUCUAAGGAUUCCUAAGGAGAAAGGAAUGAUACAGUUUUGUAGACUUCAGCCAAGAAGAAAGACUCACUUGGCAACAGAACCACCUUUGAAUGUGAACUUGCUGAAGCAAAGAUUGUCCCAGCAGAACUGGAAAGUCUUUUACUCAAGACAUUGGAACAACUCAAAUUGAUCACUUCUGGGAAAAAAGACUACCACAUGGGUGAGUGAAAAAGACUGACUCCCUUCCCUGGCUUUUCUGGAGGAACUAGCCUUGGGAGAAGACCCCUGUCUUAGAGGAGGCCUCGUGGCUAAAAUCCUUAUUUAAUUUACCUCUGGACCCCCUUUGCUGAAGUCUCUGAAGCUGUGUCUGGUUCAGACUGGGCCAGAUUAAGUAUCUACUCUCUCUCUCUCUCUCUGAUUUUCAAAUUUUCACUCUCCUUUUCUAAAUAAACUACCAUAAAAAAUAAUUCUGUCUUGAGUA
Molecule: long non-coding RNA, 635 nt
Filed under: Monodelphis domestica (gray short-tailed opossum)
Lineage: Eukaryota; Metazoa; Chordata; Mammalia; Didelphimorphia; Didelphidae
Description: lncRNA (ENSMODG00000045948.1)
Source: RNAcentral